This 631-nucleotide long non-coding RNA is filed under the name Anser cygnoides (Swan goose). RNAcentral's name for it is "lncRNA (ENSACDG00005007652.1)". The record is from RNAcentral. Lineage: Eukaryota; Metazoa; Chordata; Aves; Anseriformes; Anatidae.
AUGCAGAGACUGGACAGUCUCACACAGGUAGAGCAAGCUGUAGAAAGUAGACUUGGCUGGUAUUUAAGUCUGAAAAUGACCUGGCCUGUUGCAAGUCAAUGGAAUGAGGAAAUGGAAGUAAAGCAAGACCAAACAGCCAAGGUUGCCUGACAAUGACAUUAAGGCAGCUGGAGAGCUCAAGGACAAAGAAGAAGCCCUGGGCCGCUUAUCAAGGUUAGUCUCUUGAUAAGAGUGGGAGCCUCUCUCAAGAAACUGGCAGAAACUGGUCCUGCGGAUGGACAAGAGCCAAGGAGCAACUGAGUCUUUGCAAGGACAGGAGGUCAACUAGCAGUGACGAGGAAGAGUCACCAACCUUCAUCCCCACAACCCCCGGCGAGCACCACCAGGAGACACUGCGCAAGCGCAGAUGGGAGGAGCUUAUGGAAAUGCCUUCUUGAACUUAUUUUAAUAUGAAGCGGGGACAGGUUAUGCAUAUAUAUAGGUGCAUUGUCAAACUUCAUGCAUAUGCAACUCUUUACUGCAUAUAACCAUGGCAAGUUGCCACGUCACGUGCGCAUGACUUUGGUGGGACUACCUCUCGUGCUGCCCAACACUAAAUAAACAUACCUACUUUACAAUCUUACUGAUUGUG